Molecule: non-coding RNA, 151 nt
Organism: Vicugna pacos (alpaca)
Lineage: Eukaryota; Metazoa; Chordata; Mammalia; Artiodactyla; Camelidae
Source: RefSeq, a predicted model, not a curated record
CCUCAUGAAAUGCACGGGCCGACUCAGCAGAUCUGGGCCACGCCGAGAGGCUGGAUGUGACCAGGUGAGGCCCAGCGGGGCCGCACUGCAUCUCGGAGCCCCCGCAGGAGGAAGUGCCGGUGUCAGGGGCGAACCAGCCCAGACGCGCCCC